This is an RNA transcript of Humulus lupulus (European hop), 3623 nucleotides long. RefSeq lists it as uncharacterized. Lineage: Eukaryota; Viridiplantae; Streptophyta; Magnoliopsida; Rosales; Cannabaceae. The record is from RefSeq and is a predicted model, not a curated record. The transcript is spliced from 6 exons.
AUCCCCAAAUGAAUCCUGAAUCCCUAACUCUCAAUCAUAAAAUCAUUUUUUUCUCUGUAAUAUCCCAACGUCGAGCCUCUCUUCUGCAAUAUCCCUCUCGUUGUUCUCUCUCCCUACACCUCUCCUCUGUUCUCUCUCCCUACGCCGAGCCAACCUCCUCUACAAUCUCUCUCCCUACGUCGAGCCUCUCCUCUACAAUCCAACGCAAACCAGGUGAACUAAAUGCGAACCACAAGAUGAUCUCCUAAAGUCAAGUCGAGCCCUGAUGCCUCUUCCCUCCUUAAAGUCGAGCCCAAAUAUCUCUUCUCCCCUAAAGCUAAGCCGAAACGAUCUCCUAGCUUGAACCCAAACCAACCUUCAACUCAACUCCAUUCUUGAACCCAAACCCAACGCUGAGCCCGUUCACAAUUGGAUCUGGGUGGGAUUUGCAGGAACUUUGCUACUUUCAGUUACAGUGAUUUUGCUUGUGAGACAUCUCUUUGCCAUUCUUAUUGGUGGACUAGAAGAAUACCCUUUACUCUUGUUACAAUGUCGAUGAUAAGAGUUGGACGACAUUAAGGAAUUGUAAUUGUGAUGCUUAUUGGAAUAUUCUCCAAGCCUUCUUGAAAAUGGCAAUAGAACACGUAGAGUGGGACGGGAGAAUUAAAUGUCUGUGCGUAAGGUGCCUCAAUGUUAAACUACAAACUAUAGAUAUGGUGGAGGCUUAUGUCUUUGACAAGGGUUUUCAACAGAAUUAUCAAUAAUGGGUUUACCACGGUGAGGUGGAAGUUGGUGUUGCCAAUGAGGUAGUUGAGGAGAAUGAAGAUGUAGAUGAGAUGGUUGAUGUCGUUGACGAUUUCAUCUUACCCACAAAUGUAGACGAAGCAGAAGGUGUGUCUGGCAGUCGAAUGGGACAGUAUUAUGAUGAGUUGUUCGGGGAGAUUGAAGCUGAGUUGUAACCGGGUUGUGAUUGGAUAUCAUCCUUAAACUUUUUGGCGAAGUUGAUGCAUUUUAAAGUUAGGGGGAAGUGGCCAAAUAACUCUUUCGAUGAAUUGUUAAAGUUACUAAAGUUUGCAUUUCCGAAAGAUAAUAAAAUUCCCCCAACACACUACGAGGCGAAAAAGAAGUUGAGUAAGUUAAGGUUGGGAUAUCAAUCAAUCCAUGUCUGUAAAUAUGAUUGUUGCUUAUUUAUAAUGAGCAUGCAAGCACAGAUUCAUGUCAUGUGUGUGGGAGUGGUCGAUGGGUCAAUGAAAAGAAGAAGGGGAAAAAGGUUCCACAUAAGGUGAUGCGUUACUUUCCAUUGACUCCCAGAUUAAAGCGAAUGAACAGUUCAAGGCAUACAUCUAAUGACAUGUUAUGGCAUCAUACUGGGAGAUCAAUAGAAUAUGGGGUGAUUUGUAAUGUGAUUGAUGGGUCUGCAUGGAAAGACUUUGAUGCCACACAUCUUGAUUUUUCAAAAGAUCCUAGAAAUAUUCAUCUAGGUUUGGGUGCUGAUGAGUUUAAUCCUUUUGGCAACAUGAGCUUAUCAUAGAGCAUGUGGCCUGUGAUUUUGUCGUUCUACAAUCUCCACCCUAGCUAUGCAUGAAGAAGGAGUAUUUUAUGCUAACUCUGCUUAUUCCUGGGCCAAAAUCACCGGGUAAAGACAUGGAUGUAUUUCUAACACCAUUGGUGGAUGAGUUAAAACAAUUGUGGAUUAACGGGGUCGACAUAAGAGAUGGCACAAGGAAUGAAUUGUUCAAGAUGCGUGCAACCCUUCUGUGGACAGUUAACGAUUUCCCUGCUCGUAGUAGCUUGUCUGGUUAGAGUGGGCAAGGGUACAAAUCAUGUCCAACAUGCAAUGAAGGCACCACUUCCAUCCGAGUGAUUGGUAAGUCAUCUUAUUUCGGUCAUAGGAAAUUCUUGAGGAGUAAUCAUAAGUAUAGAAGAGACAAAGAAUUUUAUGGCAAAGUUGAGAAAAGAAAUCAUCCACAACAGUUUACUUGUCAACAAAUUUUAGAUCAAGUCAAUGCUUUACCGCGUCAAGUGCCUAAUAAACAUGACAAAUUGGGUGGAGGGGGGUGAAGCGCAAGCGAGGUGCAGAUGAAAGUAAUUGGAGGAAAAAAAGUAUUUUCUAUGAACUUGAUUACUGGAGUUCAAACCAGUUAAAACACAACCUAGAUGUGAUGCAUGUCGAAAAGAAUGUGUGCGACAGUCUCCUUGGGACUUUGUUAGAUAAUGAUAAAUAUAAGGACACCACUAACGCAAGACAUGAUUUAAAAAAUAUGGGGGGUUAGGAAAUCAUUAUGGAUUUACGAGGAUGCCAAUAAAAGGUUAAUGAAACUGUAUGCUCCAUACGUGUUCACUCCUGAACAAAGGCGAGAUUUUUGUCAAUUUUUUAAAGGAGUGAAGUUUCCCGAUGGUUUUUGUUCUAAUCUGAAGAAAAAAGUCACAGACAAUGGCUUAAACAUUGUUGGGUUGAAGUCCCAUGAUUGUCAUGUGAUAAUGCAAUGAUUACUUGCAGUAGGUGUUCGCAAGUUUUUACCAAAAUCUAUAUCCACCACCACUAAAAAAUUGUGUAAUUUCUUCAAACAAUUUGAGAAACACUACAAUGGACCAGAGAUUUGGGACAAGGUUCUAAACAACCCAACCAAGGAUGUUAACAAGGAGGAGAGGAAGCAGAUCUGUCAGUUAUUUACAAGUUUGAAAUUUAUUGCGCGUUGCGUAAAGAAUAAGGAAAAUCAGAAGAAACAGAAGUAUUCUACAACGCAAGGUAUAAAAUCGCUGGCGGCCAUCCGUCACGAAAAAGUGAACCAGGACCUUAUUGAGUCAUGGAGGGAAUACCACUGGAAGAAAACAACAAAUGAUUUCGUGAACGACGAUGCUUGCCAAGAUUAUGAAAAACUGAAGGCUGAUUUUGAGUUACAAACUCAGCAAACAUCCGCUGCCGCUUCCAAUAAUGAUGGUUAGACAACAGUUGAUCAGGUGGAGGUACUACAAAAAGUAUUGGGCCAAAGGCGUAGACAUGAGCGAGGAGUGGGCCGCAAAUUGAAGGGGUCGGGGUCAUCAUCUACCCAACACUCUUCAGUGAGUCUCAAGCUCCUCGUCAACGUUCAUCAAAACAUAUAGAAAAAUUGGAGAAUAAUCUACAGAAAUUGACUGAACAAGUUAAUUUCUUAUCUCAAUUUUUUCCACCUUCAUUUCGUCCACCAAACGUUCAGAUGCCGCCUAUGCCUGAUAGUGACAAUAUUUCUGGAGCUUCGUCUUCUCAACCUCCAGCUCCAACCCAUCCUUCCAUGUACGGGGCAGCGCCGUCUCAACACAUGGUACCUCCAUACAUGUACGAAGCAACACCAUGACCUUAUCUGUGGCCGAUUCCAUUGUCGUCGCAGCCGCCAUAUCCCUACAUGUAUGAAGUAGGAUCGUCCACAUCACCUCACGUCGCCACAGCCACCACAACCGCAACAAGAAGAUAAUAGGGAGGACAAGGCGGCUGAUUUAGGAGAGUAGGUUUAUUUUAUUGUUAGUUAUUGUUACAUUAUAUGAACAAUAUAGAUAUUUGUUAUCUUAAUGUAUUAACAACAUGGAUAAUUGUUAUCUUAAUGAACUAAUUUAAAUAUUUAAUAUAAUAUUUUUAUUUUUAAUAUAUUUGUUUUCAAUGAUUUAAA